ACUUUCUUCCAUGUGCACACGCUGAUUUCUCAACCUGGAAUCAUUUCCCUACACCUUUCCUCAAAGGACUGUUAAUGAGUUUUCAGAGCAGGUACUUCACUGAAAUGUAACUACCACAAUGCAUCCUUUCCAUGUGACUAACUUCGCUCAUGGACCAGAAUCACUGUGGCUCUGCCCUGGAGUGGUGCAAGGCAGGAGUACUGCAGCACUGCCUAGAAAGAGGAGCUCGCAUUCUGUUUGGAAAGCAAAUUAUUUAAAUCCAGUAGAGGACUCUCAAAUGUGGUUGGAAAAUCUAAGAAGACUUCCCAGAGGCAGCAGCACUAGUGUUAGGGAAAGAGCUCACAAAUUCCAUUGCUGUAGAAUCCAUGUGUUGAAGACCGCUACACUGGAAUCUAGUUUUCUAUCCUAAAAUCUACCUCCUGAGUUUGAGUAAGACUUGAACUAGUUUGCAAAUAUCUGUGAUCUUCACCUUGCCUGCCUGCAAAGCCCAUAAGCAAGUUCAGAAGAGACUUCUACUUGUCCAAAGCAACAUGGAGUAAAGUGGGUCAACUAGAAUUAAAAUAUGCUCCAGCCAAAGGUGACCAUGGAAACCUAUUGAUAAGGCUCUGGGGUCAGAUUCAUCUCUGUUCAGACAACUCUAGCGGUGUGACUCUGAGCAAGUGUUUUUUAACCUAAGUUCCUGCUUCCUCAACUGCAAAUGUAGGAAUGGUAACAUCUUCCUCAAAGUUGUAUGCUGGGGAUAACACAUGAAGGAGAUGCCUGGGCCAUAUAAUUAUUUAAGAAAUGUUCAUUUCUUUCUUGAACUACCUUCUACCAACUAUUUGGUCUGAGUUUAUGAAACUGUAAAUUUUGUCUAACAUUUGCCUAACAAAGCAUUAUUACCUUGCUUAAAGAAACACACAAUACAUUCUAAACCAAAA
RNAcentral lists this long non-coding RNA (920 nucleotides) under Homo sapiens (human). RNAcentral describes it as "HSALNT0010045". Lineage: Eukaryota; Metazoa; Chordata; Mammalia; Primates; Hominidae. The record is from RNAcentral.